GGAAGAGUCAAAGCGCCCCCUGCUGUUGGGAGCAGCCUGGCCCGCCUAGGCCCGAGGCCAGGGAGAAGGGCGCUGCCCCGGCUCAGAAAUGCAGGGCUGCUGACUCCCAAGCAUGUAGGGGGAGACUGAGGCCUGGGGAGGGGGCAGCGAGCACUGUGCCAGACCACGACCGGUGCCCUGGUUAUAGGAGGACAAGGCAGCGUCGCUCAGCAACACUGGUCCCGAGAGCUCCAGGCUGGUUUAGGACUUCAGAGGGGGCAGGAAGGACCCCGACCAGGGAGAACUGUCAGCCCAGCCACGGGCUCUGGUCCCACUCAAGGCAAGGGGGUCCUGAGCAGGGCUGGGGUCCUAGAUGGCCCGGGCCCCGCAGAGCGGGUGGGGCCGGCCCCAUCGUGGCCGCAAGUAUCUGAGAGCAGCAAGGACCCCGAGCAGGCUGGGCAGGGGUAGUGAGGUGGGGCUUGCACGCAGCCCCCGUUGGGCCCACUGGGGUUGAGGCCGGCACACACAUCCACACAUCUGGAAAGUGUGUCCUCCCACCCCACUCUCCGGCAUGCACAUCUGGAAAUACCUGCUCCCCUCCGUGGGAAUGGAGAUCAGCCAGCCCCGAGGGAGGAAGGGGCGGCGGCGGCUCUCAGCCUCCAUUACGGAAGCGGCCGCAGCUGUGUGCUGAUGUGGCAGCACUCGGCUUGGCCCCGCAGCUGCCUGGAUGGGGCCCAGGGGCCCUGGAGAGCCCCAGAAUGAGGUUUCCUCGCGGCCCUUUGCCGGCCACCAUGCUGUCUCGCCCUCUUCCUCCCUCCCCUCCUUUCUCCCCCUUUCCUGGCCAUGGGGGCAUUUCAGGGGCGGCUUGGAAAGGGGAGGAUGGGGUGGCUGCUCAGGCACAGGCUGAGGGCCUGAAGGGAGCCUGCUGUGCCCUGCUCUGCCCAGCGCCCACCCUCGAGGCCCGGCGGGAGCCCCGCUCUGCCCACUGCCCACCCUCGGGGCCCUCACUCACUUGUCCUCUUGCUCCCCCUCAGGACUCCUGCACCGGGGGGGUUCUCUGCUGUCCGAGGCGCCCUGGACCCCCUCAUGCUCCUGCCGCUGCUCUGGCCUCUGGGACCAGUCGCCAAAGCCCUCGUCCUCAUCCAGUUCAGGGGCCUCCGAGGGCUUCAGGCUGAGGCUGAGGGUAGCAGGGGGGAGCUUAGGACUGGGCGGCUGCUGCCUCCUCUGCUCGGGGCCCACACUCACCUCAUGGCACCUGCUCAGGCCCUGGGCUCCAAGUGUGGGAGACCCUGUCUGCCACAGAGCUGGCUCUGGGCUGUGUCUCCUGUGGUUAGAGAAUCCCUGAGGGUAGGGCUGUGCCUCCCCCAUCAGUCUGGGGCAGCCUGACAACUGUGCUUCCUCCAUCAGUUCAGGACUCCUUGAGGCUUGGCAGGGUUGUGCCUCCUCCAUCAGUCUGGGGCUACCUGAGGGCAGGACUAUGCCUCUCCCAUCAGUUUGGGGUUCCCUGAGGGCUGCUGACUCGGAGAAAAUGGAACAAAAGAGGCCAGGAGGAAGGGGAGCAUUAUUGGAAAAACAGCCCAGCCCAGCCGCGGAGGCCUCCUGGGCCCAAGGAGGAAGCAAGCCAGCCUGGCCGCCAAGUUGGACGUGGCUCUCGUUUCGCUCUUGUUGCCCAGGCUGGAGUGCAAUGGCACG
Non-coding RNA from Macaca mulatta (Rhesus monkey), 1671 nucleotides. The record is from RefSeq and is a predicted model, not a curated record. Lineage: Eukaryota; Metazoa; Chordata; Mammalia; Primates; Cercopithecidae.